This 57-nucleotide transfer RNA is filed under the name Biomphalaria glabrata. It matches the Rfam family "tRNA", at positions 8 to 63 of the family's 71-position model. Rfam says of the family: Transfer RNA (tRNA) molecules are approximately 80 nucleotides in length. Their secondary structure includes four short double-helical elements and three loops (D, anti-codon, and T loops). The record is from Rfam by way of RNAcentral. Lineage: Eukaryota; Metazoa; Mollusca; Gastropoda; Planorbidae.
UGGCUGAGUGGUAAAGCGCUGGGCUUCUAAACCAGGGGUCUGAGGUUCAAAUCUCAG